CCUCGACACAAUCUAACGCUAAAAAGGCGAUACGAGUCCACCGUCAACUCCGACGGCACCCAACAGUCCGGAACAGCCUGAACUCUACUAUAAAAAUACACUCGGCAUCCCAGCACGAGCGUAACUAAAAAUUAAACUACCUGAAAUAUUCACUAUGAGGAUACUGCAACAGUAUAAAAUAAUACAACGGCCCCUAGGCUAAAUCAGGUAGUUUAACAUAUGCCAGGUCCCGAAAGCCGGUUUUCUCCUGUGUCAAAUCCAGGUCCAACAUGUAUAAUUUAUUUAUAAAAAUAGGCUCCAAUUUCAGUUUAGAUGAAAACAACAUUUACAAAUAUGAAACUGAGCUAAAACAAUAGUAAUGUGUAAUACUAACAAUACAUGUUGACCAACAAGACUAUACGAGUAGGAAUCCGAUGAUAAACCCACCUCGAAAGGUAAAUCCAAUCCGGCGCGACGUCGAGAACGGCGGAAACGCACCCUCGUCCAGCCUCCUCGUGAUGCUACGACUGCAACCGUAUCCUCGAACGGCUUUGCGGCGCGACGUCAAUGUCGAAUCCGAGCUCCUCGGCUACCUCUACCCGUGCUCUCCACCAUGCACGUAAUUAACUAGAGAGAACAAAAAAAAAUGCACACUCUCUGUUAAUUUGAAGAGAUAAACAUGAAAAGGGUGGUGGCAUCCUUAUCCAAAAAAAUGACCACUAUGCCCCUAGACCAACUCAAAAUGAAGGGUAUUACAUCCUCCCCCACUAUAAAAAGUUUCGUCCUCGAAACUUAAAACAUAUCUCAAACCUGAGUCUCGAACAAGUAGGGAUAGGACUCCCGCAUCACCAUCUUCGGCUCCCAGGUUGCCUUCCGUUCCUCAUGAUUGCUCCACUACACUUUCACAUACGGGAUGUCCCGGUUGCGCAAUUCUUUCGUCUCCCGAGCAAGAAUCCGCAACGGUCGCUCCUCGUAUCUCAGAUCCUCGCCAAUCUCUAGUGGAGUGAAAUCGAUCACGUGAGAAGGAUCGAAAAUAUAUCUCCUCAAUGCUGAGACGUUGAAGACAUCGUGAAUGCCAGCUAGUCACGGGGGUAGAGCGAUCCUGUAAGCAACUGGUCCAACUCGCUCCAAUACCUCAAAAGGGCCAACAAAGCGUGGACUGAGCUUUCCACGCACUCCAAAUCGGCAAAUCCCUCUGGACGGCGAGACUUUAAGAAAUACAUGAUCUCCAACCUGGAACUCUAAGUCUCGUCUCCUGGUAUCGGCGUAGCUCCUCUGGCGGCACUGGGCUGUCAAAAGGUGUCGUCGAACAACUCUCACCUUUUCCUCAGCCUCUAGCAAAAUCUCAGGCCCAAGUGUCUUCCUCUUACCCACAUCACUCUAAAACAACGGGGAUCGACAUCUGCGUCCAUACAACGCCUCAAACGGAGCUAUCUGGAUGCUCGUUUGAUAGCUGUUGUUGUACGCAAACUCAACCAGUCUCAAAUGUCGAUACCACCCUCCUCCAAAAUCCAGGACACAUGCCCUCAGCAUGUUCUCUAGAGUCUGAAUGGCCCUCUCUGACUGACCAUCUGUCUGUGGGUGGAACGCUGUGCUAAAAUGCAACUGAGUGCCCAAGGCUGUCUGUAGACUCCUCCAAAACUGAGAUACAAACCUCGGGUCUCUGUCUGAUACAAUCGACACUGGCACGCCGUGCAGCCUGACGAUCUCAUCCAGGUAUAGAUGCGCGAGUCUCUCUCUGGACCAGAUGGUCUGAACCGAUAAGAAGUGAGCAGACUUGGUCAGUCUGUCCACUAUCACCCAAAUCGCAUCAAAGCCACCCUGCGCUCUAGGCAAUCUCACGACAAAGUCCACCGUAAUCUUCUCCCACUUUCACUCGACACUGGCAGACUCUGAAGCUUGCCAGCAGGUACCUGAUGCUCGGCCUUCACCUAUUGGCAAGUCAAAUACUGAGCCACAUACCGGCCAAUGCCUCUCUUCAUUCCAUUCCACCAAAACUGUGCCUUCAAGUCCUUAUACAUCUUGGUUUCACUUGGGUGAACCGUAUAAGGAGAACAAUGAGUCUCUCUCAAGAUGUCCUCUUGGAUCCCUAAAUCCACCGGCACACACAGUCGGUCCCUAUACCGCAGUACUCCCGAACUGUCAACAGAAAAACCCUCAGCCUGUCCCCUAUGUAGCUGCUCUCGAAUCCUCGUCAAGUACGGAUCUCCACUCUGUUUCUCUCGGAUCCUAUCCAACAGAGUGGGCUGCAAGACCAGAGACAUUAGUCUCGCAGUAGACCCAGGGGAUAUUAUCUCAAGCCUCAGCCGCUGGAGCUCCUCAAGUAACGGUCUCUGCUCAGUGAUCAUCACACUCAGGCUCUGCACUGACUUCCUGCUCAACGCAUCUGCCACUACAUUCGCCUUACCGGGAUGAUACUGAAUACUAAUGUCAUAGUCCUUCAGUAACUCCAACCACCGGUGCUGCCUCAGGUUCAGCUCCCUCUGUGUGAACAGAUACUUGAGACUUUUAUGAUCCGUAAAAAUCUCGCAGUGCUCGCCGUACAAGUAAUGUCGCCACAACUUCAAAGCAAAGACUACCGCGGCAAGCUCCAAGUCAUGCGUAGGGUAAUUCUUCUCAUAAUCCUUUAACUGCCGUGAUGCAUAAACAAUUACCCUACCAUGCUGCAUCAACACACAACCCAGUCCACUGUGCGAUGCAUCAUUGUAGAUCACAAAUCCUUCCCCCAUCACAGGAAGGGCAAGGAUAGGAGCUGACGUCAACCUUUGUCGCAACUCAUCAAAGCUCCUCUGACAAUCCUCACUCUAGAUGAAUCUAAUCCCCUUUCGCGUCAAUCGAGUGAGGGGUGUGGAAAGCUUCGCAAAGCCUUCCACAAACCGACGGUAAUAUUCUGCUAAUCCAAGGAAACUCCUCACCUCUGUCACCGUCACCGAUCUGGGCCAACCCCGAAUAACAUCAAUCUUCUUCGGGUCCACUGCUACUCCCUCUGCUGAUAUCACAUGGCCCAAGAAAGCAACCUCUCGUAACCAGAACUCGAACUUCUUCAACUUGGCAUACAACUUCUUCUCUCGCAGAAGUUGUAGCACAAUUCUCAAGUGCUCCUCAUGCUCAGCAUCACUCCGGGAGUAAAUCAGGAUAUCGUCGGUAAAGACUACCACAAAUCUAUCCAAGAACGACUUAAACACUCUGUUCAUCAAAUCCAUGAAUGCUGCAGGGGCAUUCGUCAAUCCAAAAGGCAUCACCGUUAACUCAUAAUGCCCGUACCGAGUCCGAAAAGCCGUCUUGGGAACAUCCUCGGCCCUUACCCUCAAUUGGUGGUAACCUGACUGGAGAUCAAUCUUCGAAAAGACAUAAGAUCCCUGCAGCUGAUUAAACAGAUCAUCAAUGCGCGGCAAGGGAUACUUAUUCUUGAUGGUCACUUUAUUCAGCUCCCGGUAGUCCACACACAGCCUAAGUAAACCAUCAUUCUUCUUCACAAACAACACCGGCGCUCCCCAAGGCGAAACAUUGGGUCUCACAAACCCUCUAUCCAUCAAAUCCUGAAGCUGUGCCUUUAGCUCUCUCAGCUCUGCUGGCGCAAUCCGAUAAGGUACCUUUGAGAUUGGUGCAGUUCCAGGAACUACAUCAAUCACAAACUCAAUCUCCCUCUCCGGCGGCAACGUCGUCAACUCAGGAGGAAACACAUCUAGAAACUCAUGGACUAUAGGGAUAUCCUCGAGUCCCGGCGCCGCCGUAGGUACCUCCACAACUGCCGCUAAGAAAGCGAUACACCCACUACUCAGCAUCUGUCGAGCUCUCGCCGAAGAUAUCCAGGUGGCAAACAACGUACUACUACAGCCUCUGAAAGUGAACUCCUUCUGGCUUGGCUCGCGGAAUGUCACCGUCCUCGCUCCACAAUCGAUCGUAGCAUAGUACCGCGUCAACCAAUCCAUACCGAGCACGAUGUCAAAGCCCUGCAGCUGCCCUAACACCAACAGGUCUGCGGCAUAAACCACGAAUCUAACUGCACCGGACACGACCAACAACACUCCGCAGUCUGUAACACAUGGUCGGGGAUCUGCACCUCUCGUGUCAAAGACAACGACCCUAACUCUAGACCAUAUAACAGUGCAAAUACUUGGCUAACAAAAGAAUGCGAGGCACCGGUAUCAACUAAAGUACGACUACAUAUGCCAAAAAUCAAAAUGAUACCUGCCACCAUACGGUCGGCUGCUGAAGAGUCCUCCCGAUGGUAACUCGGUAGUACUCCAAAAGUCUGCUGGUCAGCUGGCUGCGCUGAUGCAAUGGAUAGUGCUGGAAAUGUCGCUCUAGGACACGCUGACCUCACAUGUCCUGGCUGUCCACAAGUGUAGCAGCGACCCUCUUUCUGCUCACAUUGUCGGGGCCAGUGUGGUCCUCCAUAAAUCACGCACCGCAGCGUCCUCGGUGACGGUCCCUGCUGAAGCAAUCCCCUGGAAAGCUGACGCCCCGAUGAACCACGACCCUAAGAGCAAGAUCGAGAAAGCCUCAGCGGACGUCUGCUACUCGCCUGUCCUCCAUCAUCUGGAAAAGGGCGCUUCCUGUCUUGGCUCUGCCCCGGUGCCAUAGUCCGCUCCUAGAUGGGUGUAACUCCGUGUCCCACCAAGAGUACCUGCUGCACAGAUGCUCCUGUCUCAACUCCUGACCACUGAGUGAUAAUCUCAUAAAUUCUCUGCAAUAGUACACUCUGCUGCUUGAUCACUGUCAGGGCAGCCAACUGCUCUCUCAAAUCAGGGGGUACACUUGCCUCCGGUCGUGCACUCGGCUCUGCCUGGUCGGGCAUCUCUAGCGGUGCGACUUGAUCCCUGGUCGACGGUCAACCUCGGCAGCAAUCAGAACGAAACAAAACGGGGUCAAAUACAACUCAAACACUCUCGACCCAAUCAAUGAAAGUCUAGAAAGCAACCCCUGUUUUCCUCUAAAAUUAUGUCGUCUGCAGUCAACAUAAUUUCUCAGGCCAAAACAGGUACUCCUUCAAUCACUCACCCCACUCUCGGAGGAGUUAGAACAACUAAUCAUUGACUUUCGCAAUUAGAUUACGCCUCUCACUUCUUGCUUUCCUAAGGUUUGCCAAACUUAGGUUCUCUAGGUCCCAACGACCGAAUGCUAAACUCUGAUACCAACUUAAUCUGUCACGCCCCGGAUUACAGUUCCCCGGACACGCCGACAAAUCCGCCGUAUACAAAGGAAUUUUCCCUGUAUACGAAGCGACAGUUGUACCUGUAAAACAUACAAUACUACAAACAGUAAUAUAGAGCUGCUAGAAGAACUAGUAAAGUAAAAGAAACCGAGUUCCAUAUACAUACACUGAAUCCCAGAGUACAAAGCUACUCGCGCUGGCGAGUUAAAAGUCUGUAUGUACAUGAACCCAAACCAAAACAUCUACCUGCAGUAGGGGUGCAUCUAGCUCUGCUCCUCGGGUAGGGCUCUAACUCGUGAUGCCCUUGCCUAGCUCCUGACCAGCAACAGCAGCAGCCGAAGACGAAGGCUCUGCAAAAACGGGAUAACAACUGGACGUGAGAACUACUGUAGAAACAAGUAGUCCUCAGUGGGUGCCGCCCUCAACAAUCAUCGGUCCAGCCACUAAGUCUACAGAAGGUAACAAGGCUAACAGGAAAAGCUGGAAAGAAAUCUACAGCUACAUAUCGCUACACUAGCAUGAUCUACACUAAACAACUGUAGUAAAAGUCAAAACUGACUCAAUUUCACUAGGAACUGUGAACACACCCGUCCCGCCUGCCGGAUCGAACCCGUAUCCUACUCCAGGAAUAGCUGGUGGAGAAAACUCUCUAGGGACUGUGAAUACACCCGUCCCGCCUAAUUAGGUGACACCGUAGCUCAAGAAUAACCGGCGGAGAAAACUCUCUGGAGACUGUGAAUACACCCGUCUCGUCUACUAGAAUACGCCGUAUCUCAAGAGUAAUCGGCGGAGAAAACUCUCUAAAGACUGUGAAUACACCCGUCUCACCUAAUUAGACUACACCAUACCUCGAGAGUAGUCGGUCCCAGAAAAAGGUCCAACAUGAUGGUUAAGACUCCACUCACGUCACAACCUCACUAAAGGUAGAGAAAAACGUCACUCACUAUCUCACCCGGGCUACCCAAAACGGACCCACCCUGCCUGUAUCUAGCUGCGCCGUACACCACCCCGAGGGUAACCGGCUCAAGAACUGUCGAACAGAAACUGCGACACUCAUCGCACUGAAACCUCAUUCCGGAAUGGCAUUCGCGGGCGCGACCCAACGAGUUUAUAAGUAUCUCUGUCAAGUUCAUACCGCUCUCACAGGCUAAGUCAAGUAACCGACUCUAACUGGUCUAACAACCAACAGGUAAAGUGCCCUCGGCACAAUCUAACGCCAAAAAGGCGAUACGAGUCUACCGUCAACUCCGACGGCACCCAACAGUCCGAAAUAGCCUGAACGCUACUAUAAAAAUACACUCGGCAUCCCAGCACGAGCGUAACUAAAAAUUAAACUACCUGGAAUACUCACUAUGAGGAUACUGCAACAGUAUAAAAUAAUACAACGGUCCCUAGGCUAAAUCAGGUAGUUUAACAUAUGCCAGGUCCCGAACACGGGUUUUCUCCUAUGUCAAAUUCAGAUCCAAUAUGUAUAAUUUAUUUAUAAAAAUAGGCUCCAAUUUCAGUUUAGAUGAAAACAACAUUUACAAAUAUGAAACUGAGCUAAAACAAUAGUAAUGUGUAAUACUAACUAUACAUGUCGACAAACAAGACUAUAUGAGUAGGAAUCCGAUGAUAAACUCACCUCGAAAGCUAAAUCCAAUCUGGCGCGACGUCGAGAAUGGCGGAAACGCACCCUCGUCCAGCCUCCUCAUGAUGCUACGACUGCAACCGUAUCCUCGAACGGCUUUGCGGCGCGACGUCGAUGUCGAAUCCGAGCUCCUCGGCUACCUCUAUCCGUGCUCUCCACCAUGCACGUAAUUAACUAGAGAGAACAAAAAAAAAUGCACACU
Molecule: long non-coding RNA, 6969 nt
Filed under: Ananas comosus (pineapple)
Lineage: Eukaryota; Viridiplantae; Streptophyta; Magnoliopsida; Poales; Bromeliaceae
Description: long non-coding RNA (ACOM_LNC019582)
Source: RNAcentral